UACAGAGGGGGCAAGCGUUGUUCGGAAUUACUGGGCGUAAAGGGCGCGUAGGCGGCCUUCUAAGUCGAACGUGAAAUCCCCGGGCUCAACCCGGGAACUGCGUCCGAUACUGGAAGGCUUGAAUCCGGGAGAGGGAUGCGGAAUUCCAGGUGUAGCGGUGAAAUGCGUAGAUAUUCGGAGGAACACCAGUGGCGAAGGCGGCUCACUGGUCCAUUACUGACGCUGAGGUGCGAAAGCGUGGGGAGCAAACAGG
This 253-nucleotide ribosomal RNA is filed under the name uncultured bacterium. Its description in RNAcentral is "partial 16S ribosomal RNA". It matches the Rfam family "Bacterial small subunit ribosomal RNA", at positions 524 to 776 of the family's 1533-position model. The record is from RNAcentral.